UGGAUUAGGCAUGCAAGUCGAACGAUCCCGCAAGGGAUAGUGGCAAAAGGGUGAGUAACACAUGAGCAAUCUACCUUCGAGUGGGGAACAACCCUGGGAAACCGGGGCUAAAACCGCAUAAGACCACGGCUCGGCAUCGAGCUGUGAUAAAAAGUAGGGACCGCAAGGCCUGCUUCUUGAAGAUGAGCUCGUGUCCUAUCAGCUUGUUGGCGGGGUAAUGGCCCACCAAGGCUUUUGACGGGUAGCUGGUCUGAGAGGAUGGUCAGCCACAUUGGGACUGAGACACUGCCCAGACUCCUACGGGAGGCUGCAGUCGAGGAUCUUUUGCAAUGCUCGAAAGAGUGACAAUGCGACGCCGCGUGUGUGAUGAAGGCCUUCGGGUCGUAAAACAC
RNAcentral lists this ribosomal RNA (392 nucleotides) under uncultured organism. Its description in RNAcentral is "bacterial SSU rRNA". It matches the Rfam family "Bacterial small subunit ribosomal RNA", at positions 45 to 433 of the family's 1533-position model. The record is from RNAcentral.